UCAGACGAUGCGUCAUGCAUAUCAAUAAGCGGAGGAAAAGAAACUAACAAGGAUUCCCCUAGUAACGGCGAGUGAAGCGGGAAGAGCUCAAAUUUGAAAUCUUAAAGGGUUUCCCUUUACGAAUUGUAGUUUAAAGAAGUGUUUUCUGUUGAGGUUUUGGUAAAAGUUCCUUGGAAUAGGACAUCAUAGAGGGUGAGAAUCCCGUAUUUGACCUUUACUUUCAACUUUGUGAUACACUUUCAAAGAGUCGGAUUGUUUGGGAAUGCAGUCCAAAAUGGGUGGUAAAUUUCAUCUAAAGCUAAAUAUUGGCGAGAGACCGAUAGCGAACAAGUACCGUGAGGGAAAGAUGAAAAGAACUUUGAAAAGAGAGUUAAACAGUACGUGAAAUUGUCAAAAGGGAAGCGUUUGACACCAGUGUUGUUUUUCUGAAAAUCAAUUAAAGAACUGUUUAUGCUAAGUUGUUUAGACUUUAUCAGCUAACUGUUUAGUUUUGAGCUUUUCUUUAAUGCACUUUUCAGUUAACAAGUCAACAUCAAUUUCUUUUGCUGUAAAAAAGCUUGAGGAAGGUGGCUUGAGAUUCGUCUUAAGUGUUUAUAGCCUCUUGCCUAUGCAGUCGGAGAGAUUGAGGUCUGCAGCGUAGAUCCUUCGGGGCUAAAUGCAUUUGUGCUAAGUUAUAGCAUUUUAUAGACAACUUGUUGACUAUGAUUUGUCUUGUAGCUUACUCGCUUAUGUUAUUUUACCUACGCUUAGGAUGUUGAGCGCAUGUCCUCUCU
This 773-nucleotide ribosomal RNA is filed under the name uncultured Neocallimastigales. RNAcentral's name for it is "partial large subunit ribosomal RNA". It matches the Rfam family "Eukaryotic large subunit ribosomal RNA", at positions 18 to 642 of the family's 3401-position model. Lineage: Eukaryota; Fungi; Neocallimastigomycota; Neocallimastigomycetes; Neocallimastigales. The record is from RNAcentral.